Molecule: transfer-messenger RNA, 400 nt
Filed under: Halomarinibacterium sedimenti
Lineage: Bacteria; Pseudomonadati; Bacteroidota; Flavobacteriia; Flavobacteriales; Flavobacteriaceae
Description: Standard tmRNA
Rfam family: transfer-messenger RNA
About the family: Bacterial tmRNA, also known as 10Sa RNA or SsrA, is named for its dual tRNA and mRNA-like properties. Its role is to liberate the mRNA from a stalled ribosome. To accomplish this part of the tmRNA is used as a reading frame that ends in a translation stop signal.
Source: Rfam by way of RNAcentral
GGGGCCGACUGGUUUUGACAGCGGGUUUCAUUGUACGGUAAGCAUGUCGAGCGCUGGGAUACAGCUCGUAAAUCUCAUAUUUCAUCUUUUUUAAACGGCGAGAAUAACUACGCCCUAGCUGCAUAAUCCGAAUUAUAGUAGGAUAAUGCCUCGGCCCGCAAGGCGGGCAAGCAGGAAGUCACUCGAGAGCCUUGGUUUGCGGCAAUCGAUUUAGUGGCUUCGUAAAAGUAAACCUAGUUUGUGUAGGGCUUUGAUACACUUACGAAACCAAAUUGAAGCUAAGUCUUGCGCAGGUUGUUUCCAGCCAGUAAUAGAUCGAAAACCCUAAUGGAAAAUAAACAUGUAGAAAGCUCUACAACGGCACGUUUGGACGGGAGUUCGAAUCUCCCCGGCUCCACAA